This 517-nucleotide ribosomal RNA is filed under the name uncultured bacterium. Its description in RNAcentral is "bacterial SSU rRNA". It matches the Rfam family "Bacterial small subunit ribosomal RNA", at positions 9 to 526 of the family's 1533-position model. The record is from RNAcentral.
GAGUUUGAUCCUGGCUCAGGAUGAACGCUGGCGGCGUGCUUAACACAUGCAAGUCGAGCGAAGCGCUUACGACAGAACCUUCGGGGGAAGAUGUAAGUGACUGAGCGGCGGACGGGUGAGUAACGCGUGGGUAACCUGCCUCAUACAGGGGGAUAACAGUUGGAAACGGCUGCUAAUACCGCAUAAGCGCACAGUACCGCAUGGUACAGUGUGAAAAACUCCGGUGGUAUGAGAUGGACCCGCGUCUGAUUAGCUAGUUGGAGGGGUAACGGCCCACCAAGGCGACGAUCAGUAGCCGGCCUGAGAGGGUGAACGGCCACAUUGGGACUGAGACACGGCCCAGACUCCUACGGGAGGCAGCAGUGGGGAAUAUUGCACAAUGGGGGAAACCCUGAUGCAGCGACGCCGCGUGAAGGAAGAAGUAUCUCGGUAUGUAAACUUCUAUCAGCAGGGAAGAAAAUGACGGUACCUGACUAAGAAGCCCCGGCUAACUACGUGCCAGCAGCCGCGGUAAUAC